CUGGAAGGGCGGUCCAAGUCAGGCUGCUCGCUCCGAUCACAGCAUCCUGGAUCCUCACUGAGGUUGACCAGCAAAUCACAGAGGCAAGUGGAGCCUGAAUGAGAUGCGCACCAACCUGUGCUUCAUGUACCAGAAGAUCGUCGCGCAGCCGAAGCCCGUGGAAACGCCAAGAACAGAACCCCGUGCAUCUGUCCCGUGAGGCCGACCCUGCUGACAUGCUGCAGUUUGUCUCCGGGUAGCUGAGCCAAG
Gambusia affinis (western mosquitofish) is the source of this 249-nucleotide long non-coding RNA. RefSeq lists it as uncharacterized. The record is from RefSeq and is a predicted model, not a curated record. The transcript has 3 exons. NCBI's taxonomy places the organism in Eukaryota, Metazoa, Chordata, Actinopteri, Cyprinodontiformes, Poeciliidae.